This is a long non-coding RNA of Centruroides sculpturatus (bark scorpion), 424 nucleotides long. RefSeq lists it as uncharacterized. Lineage: Eukaryota; Metazoa; Arthropoda; Arachnida; Scorpiones; Buthidae. The record is from RefSeq and is a predicted model, not a curated record. The transcript has 3 exons.
ACGAUGGGCUUCUCUGAACAUAAGACCGUUAAUCACAGCCAGCGGGGCCCCGGGAGAUUCGUCGACGCCGAUGAUCCCGAGGCCCACACUCAGAACAUCGAGUGCAGAAAUCGCUGGCUGAAGAAGUCCAUCAAGUCGCUCCGCACGGACAGGAGCCUGCAGAGCUACAACUGUACGUACGUGUACAGGACGCGGGUCCUGUCCCAGUUGCCAACAACAUCGGCAAAAUUCCGGCAGUUCAUCGGGGACAUCGUGGCCGUCUACCCGGGCCCCGGUCGUCAGGGUCUCCAACUCCGGACGAUCGGUGUGCCCGUGGAUCAACAUCUGCCGCCGGACGAGCCCUAUUUCGAUGUUCCCGUGCACGAGGGCGACGAAGAGGAACGGCAGGGGGAUGACGACCGCCCAACAACAUCGGGCGCCAACA